RNAcentral lists this ribosomal RNA (694 nucleotides) under uncultured bacterium. Its description in RNAcentral is "bacterial SSU rRNA". It matches the Rfam family "Bacterial small subunit ribosomal RNA", at positions 140 to 854 of the family's 1533-position model. The record is from RNAcentral.
CGGAUAACAUACCGAAAGGUAUGCUAAUACGGGAUAAUAUAUUUGAGAGGCAUCUCUUAAAUAUCAAAGGUGAGCCAGUACAGGAUGGACCCGCGUCUGAUUAGCUAGUUGGUAAGGUAACGGCUUACCAAGGCGACGAUCAGUAGCCGACCUGAGAGGGUGAUCGGCCACAUUGGAACUGAGACACGGUCCAAACUCCUACGGGAGGCAGCAGUGGGGAAUAUUGCACAAUGGGCGAAAGCCUGAUGCAGCAACGCCGCGUGAGUGAUGAAGGCCUUCGGGUCGUAAAACUCUGUCCUCAAGGAAGAUAAUGACGGUACUUGAGGAGGAAGCCCCGGCUAACUACGUGCCAGCAGCCGCGGUAAUACGUAGGGGGCUAGCGUUAUCCGGAUUUACUGGGCGUAAAGGGUGCGUAGGCGGUCUUUCAAGUCAGGAGUGAAAGGCUACGGCUCAACCGUAGUAAGCUCUUGAAACUGGGAGACUUGAGUGCAGGAGAGGAGAGUGGAAUUCCUAGUGUAGCGGUGAAAUGCGUAGAUAUUAGGAGGAACACCAGUUGCGAAGGCGGCUCUCUGGACUGUAACUGACGCUGAGGCACGAAAGCGUGGGGAGCAAACAGGAUUAGAUACCCUGGUAGUCCACGCUGUAAACGAUGAGUACUAGGUGUCGGGGGUUACCCCCUUCGGUGCCGCAGCUA